GUAAGGGAUAUUGCGCAAUGGGCGAAAGCCUGACGCAGCAACGCCGCGUGGAGGAUGAAGGCUUUCGGGUCGUAAACUCCUUUGGACGGGGACGAGGAAGGACGGUACCCGUCAAACAAGUCACGGCUAACUACGUGCCAGCAGCCGCGGUAAAACGUAGGUGGCAAGCGUUAUCCGGAUUUACUGGGCGUAAAGGGUGUGCAGGCGGACGGCCAAGUGGUGUAUGAAAGCGCUCGGCUCAACCGGGCAAGGGUAUGCCAGACUGGUCGACUAGAGACUGACAGAGGGUGGUGGAAUUCCGGGUGUAGUGGUGAAAUGCGUAGAGAUCCGGAGGAACCCCAGAGGCGAAGGCGGCCACCUGGGUCAGUUCUGACGCUCAGACACGACAGCAUGGGGAGCGAACGGGAUUAGAAACCCGGGUAGUCC
RNAcentral lists this ribosomal RNA (426 nucleotides) under uncultured bacterium. Its description in RNAcentral is "bacterial SSU rRNA". It matches the Rfam family "Bacterial small subunit ribosomal RNA", at positions 354 to 796 of the family's 1533-position model. The record is from RNAcentral.